AGCGAACGCUGGCGGCAUGCCUAACACAUGCAAGUCGAACGAAACCUUCGGGUCUAGUGGCGCACGGGUGCGUAACGCGUGGGAACCUGCCCUUAGGUUCGGAAUAACUCCCCGAAAGGGGUGCUAAUACCGGAUAAUGUCUUCGGACCAAAGAUUUAUCGCCUUUGGAUGGGCCCGCGUUGGAUUAGCUAGUUGGUAGGGUAAAAGCCUACCAAGGCGACGAUCCAUAGCUGGUCUGAGAGGAUGAUCAGCCACACUGGGACUGAGACACGGCCCAGACUCCUACGGGAGGCAGCAGUGGGGAAUAUUGGACAAUGGGCGAAAGCCUGAUCCAGCAAUGCCGCGUGAGUGAUGAAGGCCUUAGGGUUGUAAAGCUCUUUUACCCGGGAUGAUAAUGACAGUACCGGGAGAAUAAGCUCCGGCUAACUCCGUG
Molecule: ribosomal RNA, 433 nt
Filed under: uncultured bacterium
Lineage: Bacteria
Description: partial 16S ribosomal RNA
Rfam family: Bacterial small subunit ribosomal RNA
Source: RNAcentral